AUUGAACGCUGGCGGAAUGCUUUACACAUGCAAGUCGAACGGCAGCACGGGAGCAAUCCUGGUGGCGAGUGGCGAACGGGUGAGUAAAGUAUCGGAACGUGCCCAGUCGUGGGGGAUAACGUAGCGAAAGUUACGCUAAUACCGCAUACGAUCUAUGGAUGAAAGCGGGGGAUCGCAAGACCUCGCGCGAUUGGAGCGGCCGAUAUCAGAUUAGGUAGUUGGUGGGGUAAAGGCUCACCAAGCCGACGAUCUGUAGCUGGUCUGAGAGGACGACCAGCCACACUGGGACUGAGACACGGCCCAGACUCCUACGGGAGGCAGCAGUGGGGAAUUUUGGACAAUGGGCGAAAGCCUGAUCCAGCCAUGCCGCGUGCAGGAUGAAGGCCUUCGGGUUGUAAACUGCUUUUGUACGGAACGAAAAGGUUUGGCCUAAUAAGCUGAGCUCAUGACGGUACCGUAAGAAUAAGCACCGGCUAACUACGUGCCAGCCGCCGCCGUAA
RNAcentral lists this ribosomal RNA (500 nucleotides) under uncultured bacterium. Its description in RNAcentral is "partial 16S ribosomal RNA". It matches the Rfam family "Bacterial small subunit ribosomal RNA", at positions 30 to 523 of the family's 1533-position model. The record is from RNAcentral.